Lampris incognitus (smalleye Pacific opah) is the source of this 113-nucleotide small nuclear RNA. RefSeq annotates it as U5 spliceosomal RNA. NCBI's taxonomy places the organism in Eukaryota, Metazoa, Chordata, Actinopteri, Lampriformes, Lampridae. The transcript has a single exon. The record is from RefSeq and is a predicted model, not a curated record.
AGUACACUUUCUCUUCAGAUCGUAGAAAUCUUUCGCCUUUUACUAAAGAUUUCCGCGGAGAGAAAUAUUUUGAGAAUAAAUUAAGUUUUUGGUGUCCUGCUGAAUAGCAGGGC